AACGAACGCUGGCGGCAUGCCUAACACAUGCAAGUCGAACGAGACCUUCGGGUCUAGUGGCGCACGGGUGCGUAACGCGUGGGAACCUGCCCUUAGGUUCGGAAUAACUCCCCGAAAGGGGUGCUAAUACCGGAUAAUGUCUUCGGACCAAAGAUUUAUCGCCUUUGGGUGGGCCGCGUUGGAUUAGCUAGUUGGUAGGGUAAAUGCCUACCAAGGCGACGAUCCAUAGCUGGUCUGAGAGGAUGAGCAGCCACACUGGGACUGGGACACGGCCCAGACUCCUACGGGAGGCAGCAGUGGGGAAUAUUGGACAAUGGGCGGAAGCAUGAUCCAGCAAUGCCGCGUGAGUGAUGAAGGCCUUAGGGUUGUAAAGCUCUUUUAACCGGGAUGAUAAUGACGGUACCGGGAGAAUAAGCCCCGGCUAACUCCGUG
This 432-nucleotide ribosomal RNA is filed under the name uncultured bacterium. RNAcentral's name for it is "partial 16S ribosomal RNA". It matches the Rfam family "Bacterial small subunit ribosomal RNA", at positions 29 to 507 of the family's 1533-position model. The record is from RNAcentral.